This 253-nucleotide ribosomal RNA is filed under the name uncultured bacterium. RNAcentral's name for it is "partial 16S ribosomal RNA". It matches the Rfam family "Bacterial small subunit ribosomal RNA", at positions 524 to 776 of the family's 1533-position model. The record is from RNAcentral.
UACGUAGGGGGCAAGCGUUGUCCGGAUUUAUUGGGCGUAAAGAGCGUGUAGGCGGCUUUACAGGUCCGUUGUGAAAACUCGAGGCUCAACCUCGAGACGCCGGUGGAAACCGUAAAGCUAGAGUCCGGAAGAGGAGAGUGGAAUUCCUGGUGUAGCGGUGAAAUGCGCAGAUAUCAGGAGGAACACCAAUUGCGAAGGCAGCUCGCUGGAACGUAACUGACGCUGAGACGCGAAAGCGUGGGGAGCAAACAGG